Molecule: ribosomal RNA, 253 nt
Filed under: uncultured bacterium
Lineage: Bacteria
Description: partial 16S ribosomal RNA
Rfam family: Bacterial small subunit ribosomal RNA
Source: RNAcentral
UACGAAGGGGGCUAGCGUUGUUCGGAAUUACUGGGCGUAAAGCGCACGUAGGCGGAUUGUUAAGUCAGAGGUGAAAUCCCGGAGCUCAACUUCGGAACUGCCUUUGAUACUGGCAAUCUAGAGUCCGGAAGAGGUUAGUGGAAUUCCCAGUGUAGAGGUGAAAUUCGUAGAUAUUGGGAAGAACACCAAUGGCGAAAGCAGCUUUCUGGGACGGUACUGACGCUGAGACGCGAAAGCGUGGGGAGCGAACAGG